This 83-nucleotide transfer RNA is filed under the name Canis lupus familiaris (dog). It matches the Rfam family "tRNA". From Rfam's summary of the family: Transfer RNA (tRNA) molecules are approximately 80 nucleotides in length. Their secondary structure includes four short double-helical elements and three loops (D, anti-codon, and T loops). Further hydrogen bonds mediate the characteristic L-shaped molecular structure. tRNAs have two regions of fundamental functional importance: the anti-codon, which is responsible for specific mRNA codon recognition, and the 3' end, to which the tRNAs corresponding amino acid is attached (by aminoacyl-tRNA synthetases). tRNAs cope with the degeneracy of the genetic code in two manners: having more than one tRNA (with a specific anti-codon) for a particular amino acid; and 'wobble' base-pairing, i.e. permitting non-standard base-pairing at the 3rd anti-codon position. Lineage: Eukaryota; Metazoa; Chordata; Mammalia; Carnivora; Canidae. The record is from Rfam by way of RNAcentral. RNAcentral also lists the same sequence under 1 other name.
GCCUGGGUAGCUCAGCGGUUGAGCGUCUGCCUUUGGCUCAGGGUGUGAUCCUGGAGUCUUGGGAUCGAGUCCCACAUCGGGCU